Molecule: ribosomal RNA, 460 nt
Filed under: uncultured bacterium
Lineage: Bacteria
Description: partial 16S ribosomal RNA
Rfam family: Bacterial small subunit ribosomal RNA
Source: RNAcentral
CCUACGGGAGGCAGCAGUGAGGAAUAUUGGUCAAUGGCCGGAAGGCUGAAGCAGCCAAGCCGCGUGAAGGACGAAGGUGCCAAGCAUUGUAAACUUCUUUUGUCAAGGGACAAAAUCAGGCUCGAGAGCCUGCCCGAGGGGACUUUAAGAACAAGCAUCGGCUAACUCCGUGCCAGCAGCCGCGGUCAUACGGAGGAUGCGAGCGUUAUCCGGAUUUAUUGGGUUUAAAGGGAGCGUAGAUGGGUGGUUAAGUCAGUUGUGAAAGUUUGCGGCUCAACCGUAAAAUUGCAAUUGAUACUGGCAGUCUUGAGUACAGUUGAGGUAGGCAGAAUUCCAGGUGUAGCGGUGAAAUGCUUAGAGAUCACGAAGAACCCCGAUUGCGAAGGCAGCUUACUAAACUGUGACUGACAUUGAUGCUCGAAAGUGUGGGUAUCAAACAGGAUUAGAUACCCUAGUAGUC